RNAcentral lists this ribosomal RNA (222 nucleotides) under Triticum aestivum (bread wheat). RNAcentral describes it as "partial small subunit ribosomal RNA". The record is from RNAcentral. Lineage: Eukaryota; Viridiplantae; Streptophyta; Magnoliopsida; Poales; Poaceae.
AUGCCCCGUGCCGCCGUGCCCCGUGCUGCUGUGCGGCAGGCCGCCAACCCCGACCCUCCUGCUCGUUUGAUCGUCUGUGGCACAUCCAUUUGCCGCCGGUGUAGCAGCUGGCUGCUGCUGUUCAUCACCACCACCGCACCACUCAUCCUCUUCCACGCCGGUCACCAGUUCGCCGCCUUCUGUCGUCUUCUGGUGCUCAACCUCUCAACUGAAGGUGAGUAA